RNAcentral lists this ribosomal RNA (744 nucleotides) under uncultured bacterium. RNAcentral describes it as "bacterial SSU rRNA". It matches the Rfam family "Bacterial small subunit ribosomal RNA", at positions 33 to 773 of the family's 1533-position model. The record is from RNAcentral.
ACGCUGGCGGCAGGCCUAACACAUGCAAGUCGAGCGGUAGAGAGAAGCUUGCUUCUCUUGAGAGCGGCGGACGGGUGAGUAAUGCCUAGGAAUCUGCCUGGUAGUGGGGAUAACGUUCGGAAACGGACGCUAAUACCGCAUACGUCCUACGGGAGAAAGCAGGGGACCUUCGGGCCUUGCGCUAUCAGAUGAGCCUAGGUCGGAUUAGCUAGUUGGUGGGGUAAUGGCUCACCAAGGCGACGAUCCGUAACUGGUCUGAGAGGAUGAUCAGUCACACUGGAACUGAGACACGGUCCAGACUCCUACGGGAGGCAGCAGUGGGGAAUAUUGGACAAUGGGCGAAAGCCUGAUCCAGCCAUGCCGCGUGUGUGAAGAAGGUCUUCGGAUUGUAAAGCACUUUAAGUUGGGAGGAAGGGUUGUAGAUUAAUACUCUGCAAUUUUGACGUUACCGACAGAAUAAGCACCGGCUAACUCUGUGCCAGCAGCCGCGGUAAUACAGAGGGUGCAAGCGUUAAUCGGAAUUACUGGGCGUAAAGCGCGCGUAGGUGGUUAGUUAAGUUGGAUGUGAAAUCCCCGGGCUCAACCUGGGAACUGCAUUCAAAACUGACUGACUAGAGUAUGGUAGAGGGUGGUGGAAUUUCCUGUGUAGCGGUGAAAUGCGUAGAUAUAGGAAGGAACACCAGUGGCGAAGGCGACCACCUGGACUGAUACUGACACUGAGGUGCGAAAGCGUGGGGAGCAAAC